Gossypium raimondii (Peruvian cotton) is the source of this 144-nucleotide non-coding RNA. The record is from Rfam. NCBI's taxonomy places the organism in Eukaryota, Viridiplantae, Streptophyta, Magnoliopsida, Malvales, Malvaceae.
UGUUAAAAAUGUUAUCUAUUUAUAUAGUUAAAAACUGGGGCAGCUGAUGGAAUAACCAAAUAGUAAGACGUGACAUGUCAUGUAUACCUCAUACUGAUAUAUAAAGAUCAGUUUUUAACAACAAAAUGGAUGGAAAUUUUAAUA